CUUGAUGUUUUACAAUAUUGGAAGGAAAAUCAAGUAAGGUAUCCAAAACUGGCUAUAAUGGCUCGCGAUAUAUUGAGCAUCCCGAUUACUACUGUUGCUUCCGAAUCAUCUUUCAGUAUUGGAGGUCGGGUGUUAAGUAAGUAUCGAACUUCAUUGCUAUCAUCAAAUGUUGAAGCAUUGCUAUGCACACGUGAUUGGUUAUUUGAUUUAAAAGAUGAAAACGAGAACGAAAUGGAUGAAGAUCUUGUUGAAGACAUUGAAGCAUUGAUUCCAACUUUUGGCAACUUUUAGGGACUUUAAAGGAAGCAUCCAUGAAGAAGCGCAAUUCGUCAAGACGUUUUGUAUGUUAUUGAAUUAG
This is a long non-coding RNA of Helianthus annuus (common sunflower), 358 nucleotides long. RefSeq lists it as uncharacterized. The record is from RefSeq and is a predicted model, not a curated record. The transcript has 3 exons. Lineage: Eukaryota; Viridiplantae; Streptophyta; Magnoliopsida; Asterales; Asteraceae.